This 468-nucleotide ribosomal RNA is filed under the name uncultured bacterium. Its description in RNAcentral is "partial 16S ribosomal RNA". It matches the Rfam family "Bacterial small subunit ribosomal RNA", at positions 28 to 507 of the family's 1533-position model. The record is from RNAcentral.
GAUGAACGCUGACAGAAUGCUUAACACAUGCAAGUCUACUUGAAUUUGGGUUUUUUAACUUAGAUUUGGGUGGCGGACGGGUGAGUAACGCGUAAAGAACUUGCCUCACAGCUAGGGACAACAUUUGGAAACGAAUGCUAAUACCUGAUAUUAUGAUUAUAAGGCAUCUUAGAAUUAUGAAAGCUAUAUGCGCUGUGAGAGAGCUUUGCGUCCCAUUAGCUAGUUGGAGAGGUAACGGCUCACCAAGGCGAUGAUGGGUAGCCGGCCUGAGAGGGUGAACGGCCACAAGGGGACUGAGACACGGCCCUUACUCCUACGGGAGGCAGCAGUGGGGAAUAUGGGACAAUGGACCAAGAGUCUGAUCCAGCAAUUCUGUGUGCACGAUGACGUUUUUCGGAAUGUAAAGUGCUUUCAGUUGGGAAGAAAAAAAUGACGGUACCAACAGAAGAAGUGACGGCUAAAUACGUG